UAUCCGUGGCGUGGUGGACUCUGAGGAC
Molecule: non-coding RNA, 28 nt
Filed under: Cricetulus griseus (Chinese hamster)
Lineage: Eukaryota; Metazoa; Chordata; Mammalia; Rodentia; Cricetidae
Source: RNAcentral